AUUGAACGCUGGCGGCAGGCCUAACACAUGCAAGUCGAGCGGAUGAAGGGAGCUUGCUCCUGGAUUCAGCGGCGGACGGGUGAGUAAUGCCUAGGAAUCUGCCUGGUAGUGGGGGAUAACGUCCGGAAACGGGCGCUAAUACCGAAUACGUCCUGAGGGAGAAAGGGGGGGAUCUUGGGACCUCACGCUACAAGAUGAGCCUAGGUCGGAUUAGCUAGUUGGUGGGGUAAAGGCCUACCGAGGCGACAAUCCGUAACUGGUCUGAGAGGAUGAUCAGUCACACUGGAACUGAGACACGGUCCAGACUCCUACGGGAGGCAGCAGUGGGGAAUAUUGGACAAUGGGCGAAAGCCUGAUCCAGCCAUGCCGCGUGUGUGAAGAAGGUCUUCGGAUUGUAAAGCACUUUAAGUUGGGAGGAAGGGCAGUAAGUUAAUACCUUGCUGUUUUGACGUUACCAACAGAAUAAGCACCGGCUAACUUCGUG
This 484-nucleotide ribosomal RNA is filed under the name uncultured bacterium. RNAcentral's name for it is "partial 16S ribosomal RNA". It matches the Rfam family "Bacterial small subunit ribosomal RNA", at positions 30 to 507 of the family's 1533-position model. The record is from RNAcentral.